GUUUAUCCUGUUAUCAUCUUGCUAUUACACUGUUGUUAUCAUGUUUUCAUUCUGUUCAACGUUUAUGUUCUCUACAAUGAUGUCUAAGUAGUGAAUAAGUUUCUGAGGAUGGGUUAGAGUAGUGUAGAAUUCUCAGUAUGCUAGGUGGUUCAGUUUGAUUGAUAGAUCCCUUCUGGAUUA
RNAcentral lists this small RNA (180 nucleotides) under Arabidopsis thaliana (thale cress). RNAcentral's name for it is "ATSL265660". Lineage: Eukaryota; Viridiplantae; Streptophyta; Magnoliopsida; Brassicales; Brassicaceae. The record is from RNAcentral.